Molecule: ribosomal RNA, 325 nt
Filed under: uncultured eukaryote
Lineage: Eukaryota
Description: partial 18S ribosomal RNA
Rfam family: Eukaryotic small subunit ribosomal RNA
Source: RNAcentral
CCCUUAGAUGUUCUGGGCCGCACGCGCGCUACACUGAUGCGUUCAACGAGUAUACAACCUUGAUCGAUAGGUCUGGGUAAUCUUGUGAAUGCGCAUCGUGCUAGGGAUAGAUUGUUGCAAUUUUCAAUCUUGAACGAGGAAUUCCUAGUAAACGCAAGUCAUCAGCUUGCAUUGAUUACGUCCCUGCCCUUUGUACACACCGCCCGUCGCACCUACCGAUUGAAUGUUUCGGUGAAGAUUCCGGAUAGGACUUUUUUGAUUUAUUUCAAUUUUGUCUUAAAAGCUAUCUAAACCUCAACAUUUAGAGGAAGGUGAAGUCGUAACA